CCAUGCAUGUGUAAGUAUAAAUAAUUCUACUUUGAAACUGCGAAUGGCUCAUUAUAUCAGUUAUAGUUUAUUAGAAAUAAUUUACUACUUGGAUAACCGUAGUAAUUCUAGGGCUAAUACGUGAGUAAAUCCUCGACUUUGAAGAGGUGUGUUUAUUAGUAUGAAAACCAUAUGCUUUUGCAUAAUAGUGAGUAAUAAUAACCUUUCAUAUCGUAUGUUGUAAUAACGAUAGUUCUUUCAAGUUUCUGCCCUAUCAGCUUUCGAUGGUAGUGCAUUGGACUACCAUGGCAGUAACGGGUAACGAAGAAUUUGGGUUCGAUUUCGGAGAGGGAGCCUGAGAGAUGGCUACCACAUCCAAGGAAGGCAGCAGGCGCGUAAAUUACCCAAUCCUGACAUAGGGAGGUAGUGACAAUAAAUCACAAUGCGGGACUUUUAGUUUUGCAAUUGGAUUGAGAACAAUGUAAAAGAGUUAUCGAUAAACAAUUGGAGGGCAAGUCUGGUGCCAGCAGCCGCGGUAAUUCCAGCUCCAAUAGCGUAUAUUAACGUUGUUGCAGUUAAAAA
RNAcentral lists this ribosomal RNA (561 nucleotides) under Blastocystis sp. subtype 14. RNAcentral describes it as "partial small subunit ribosomal RNA". It matches the Rfam family "Eukaryotic small subunit ribosomal RNA", at positions 49 to 625 of the family's 1831-position model. The record is from RNAcentral. Lineage: Eukaryota; Bigyra; Opalinata; Blastocystidae.